AGUGAACGCUGGCGGUAGGCCUAACACAUGCAAGUCGAACGGCAGCACAGUAAGAGCUUGCUCUUACGGGUGGCGAGUGGCGGACGGGUGAGGAAUACAUCGGAAUCUACUUUUUCGUGGGGGAUAACGUAGGGAAACUUACGCUAAUACCGCAUACGACCUACGGGUGAAAGCAGGGGAUCUUCUGACCUUGCGCGAUUGAAUGAGCCGAUGUCGGAUUAGCUAGUUGGCGGGGUAAAGGCCCACCAAGGCGACGAUCCGUAGCUGGUCUGAGAGGAUGAUCAGCCACACUGGAACGGAGCCACGGUCCAGACUACUACGGGAGGCAGCAGUGGGGAAUAUUGGACAAAGGGGGCAAGCCUGAUCCAGCCAUACCGCGUGGGUGAAGAAGGCCUUCGGGUUGUAAAGCCCUUUUGUUGGGAAAGAAAAGCAGCAGGUUAAGACCCCGCUGUUCUGACGGUACCCAAAGAAUAAGCACCGGCUAACUUCGUG
RNAcentral lists this ribosomal RNA (492 nucleotides) under uncultured bacterium. RNAcentral describes it as "partial 16S ribosomal RNA". It matches the Rfam family "Bacterial small subunit ribosomal RNA", at positions 29 to 507 of the family's 1533-position model. The record is from RNAcentral.